This is a long non-coding RNA of Amblyraja radiata (thorny skate), 120 nucleotides long. RefSeq lists it as uncharacterized. The transcript has 3 exons. The record is from RefSeq and is a predicted model, not a curated record. Lineage: Eukaryota; Metazoa; Chordata; Chondrichthyes; Rajiformes; Rajidae.
GUCUGCAAUGUUGUUUUUGAUCAUUGCAAUUAGGGGGCAGGAACAGUCAGGAUGAGGAUUGCUGUUGUAGCAGGAGCCAAGGGGACUGGUUUAGAUGGUGUUUAGUUUCUCUCUUUGAAU